Molecule: transfer RNA, 77 nt
Filed under: Clostridioides difficile
Lineage: Bacteria; Bacillati; Bacillota; Clostridia; Peptostreptococcales; Peptostreptococcaceae
Description: tRNA-Met
Rfam family: tRNA
About the family: Transfer RNA (tRNA) molecules are approximately 80 nucleotides in length. Their secondary structure includes four short double-helical elements and three loops (D, anti-codon, and T loops).
Source: RNAcentral
GGCGGUAUAGCUUAGUUGGCUAGAGCGUUCGGUUCAUACCCGAAAGUUCACUGCUUCGAUUUCUCUAACCGCUACUA